RNAcentral lists this long non-coding RNA (578 nucleotides) under Homo sapiens (human). RNAcentral describes it as "non-protein coding lnc-DDC-3:4". Lineage: Eukaryota; Metazoa; Chordata; Mammalia; Primates; Hominidae. The record is from RNAcentral.
UGUCAGCAUCGGGGGUGGGAGCAGGGCCCACGCAUUCCCCCUUUGGCCUGGGUGGGAACAGGGGAGGUGGUGGGCAGGGCCAGAAGGGCUUACUGGGAUUUUCUUUCUCUCUGUCACUCCAGAGAAAGGUGGUAAAGAACACUUGUUUCAGUUUGAGGUGCUCGGCAGCCACGCGCUGAAGGACGGUUUUUAAUUGUAGGGUGGGGUGUGAGUGCAGUGUGGUUCAGUCCCCUCCCCAUCUUGUGCUACCUGCCGUUGUACCUGGACCUGUGAAUCAGGGAUAAUAGUUACUAUCUUGUAGGACUGAGAAUGGUGCAUACUAACUGCUGAGGAACAUGGUGAAUGGAGUUAUGGUAAUUGCACGAUUGGCAUGAAGGGGUGAGAGAAGUUCCAGAUUGGUCGAUUAAAAUACUUGGGAGGCUGCAUUCUGAUAAUUCUCAGGAGGAAGAAUGUAUAGGAGAGACCAGGGUUUUUAAGGUGUGACCUCUGAACCACCUACAUCAGAGCUGACUGCCUCUCGUGUCUGGGAGCCAGCUUCUGAGUGUUGUCAAGGUAGUCCUGGUGGCUUGAGACUGGUG